GACGAACGCUUGCGGCGUGCUUAACACAUGCAAGUCGAACGGAAAGGCCCUGCUUUUGUGGGGUGCUCGAGUGGCGAACGGGUGAGUAACACGUGAGUAACCUGCCCUUGACUUUGGGAUAACUUCAGGAAACUGGGGCUAAUACCGGAUAGGAGCUCCUGCUGCAUGGUGGGGGUUGGAAAGUUUCGGCGGUUGGGGAUGGACUCGCGGCUUAUCAGCUUGUUGGUGGGGUAGUGGCUUACCAAGGCUUUGACGGGUAGCCGGCCUGAGAGGGUGACCGGCCACAUUGGGACUGAGAUACGGCCCAGACUCCUACGGGAGGCAGCAGUGGGGAAUAUUGCACAAUGGGCGGAAGCCUGAUGCAGCAACGCCGCGUGCGGGAUGACGGCCUUCGGGUUGUAAACCGCUUUCGCCUGUGACGAAGCGUGAGUGACGGUAAUGGGUAAAGAAGCACCGGCUAACUACGUGCCAGCAGCCGCGGUGAUACGUACGGUGCGAGCGUUGUCCGGAUUUAUUGGGCGUAAAGGGCUCGUAGGUGGUUGAUCGCGUCGGAAGUGUAAUCUUGGGGCUUAACCCUGAGCGUGCUUUCGAUACGGGUUGACUUGAGGAAGGUAGGGGAGAAUGGAAUUCCUGGUGGAGCGGUGGAAUGCGCAGAUAUCAGGAGGAACACCAGUGGCGAAGGCGGUUCUCUGGGCCUUUCCUGACGCUGAGGAGCGAAAGCGUGGGGAGCGAACAGGCUUAGAUACCCUGGUAGUCCACGCUGUAAACGGUGGGUACUAGGUGUGGGGUCCACUCCACGGGUUCCGUGCCGUAGCUAACGCUUUAAGUACCCCGCCUGGGGAGUACGGCCGCAAGGCUAAAACUCAAAGGAAUUGACGGGGCCCCGCACAAGCGGCGGAGCAUGCGGAUUAAUUCGAUGCAACGCGUAGAACCUUACCUGGGUUUGACAUGGAUCGGGAGUGCUCAGAGAUGGGUGUGCCUCUUUUGGGGUCGGUUCACAGGUGGUGCAUGGCUGUCGUCAGCUCGUGUCGUGAGAUGUUGGGUUAAGUCCCGCAACGAGCGCAACCCUUGUUCACUGUUGCCAGCACGUUAUGGUGGGGACUCAGUGGAGACCGCCGGGGUCAACUCGGAGGAAGGUGGGGAUGACGUCAAGUCAUCAUGCCCCUUAUGUCCAGGGCUUCACGCAUGCUACAAUGGCUGGUACAGAGAGUGGCGAGCCUGUGAGGGUGAGCGAAUCUCGGAAAGCCGGUCUCAGUUCGGAUUGGGGUCUGCAACUCGACCUCAUGAAGUCGGAGUCGCUAGUAAUCGCAGAUCAGCAACGCUGCGGUGAAUACGUUCCCGGG
RNAcentral lists this ribosomal RNA (1343 nucleotides) under uncultured bacterium. Its description in RNAcentral is "16S ribosomal RNA". It matches the Rfam family "Bacterial small subunit ribosomal RNA", at positions 28 to 1378 of the family's 1533-position model. The record is from RNAcentral.